GUACCGUGAGGGAAAGGCGAAAAGAACCCCGGCGAGGGGAGUGAAAAAGAACCUGAAACCGUGUACGUACAAGCAGUGGGAGCACAGGUUUACCUGUGUGACUGCGUACCUUUUGUAUAAUGGGUCAGCGACUUAUAUUCUGUAGCAAGGUUAACCGAAUAGGGGAGCCGGAGGGAAACCGAGUCUUAAUUGGGCGUUAAGUUGCAGGGUAUAGACCCGAAACCCGGUGAUCUAGCCAUGGGCAGGUUGAAGGUUGGGUAACACUAACUGGAGGACCGAACCGACUAAUGUUGAAAAAUUAGCGGAUGACCUGUGGCUGGGGGUGAAAGGCCAAUCAAACCGGGAGAUAGCUGGUUCUCCCCGAAAGCUAUUUAGGUAGCGCCUCGUGAAUUCAUCUCCGGGGGUAGAGCACUGUUUCGGCUAGGGGGCCAUCCCGGCUUACCAACCCGAUGCAAACUGCGAAUACCGGAGAAUGUUAUCACGGGAGACACACGGCGGGUGCUAACGUCCGUCGUGAAGAGGGAAACAACCCAGACCGCCAGCUAAGGUCCCAAAGUCAUGGUUAAGUGGGAAACGAUGUGGGAAGGCCCAGACAGCCAGGAUGUUGGCUUAGAAGCAGCCAUCAUUUAAAGAAAGCGUAAUAGCUCACUGGUCGAGUCGGCCUGCGCGGAAGAUGUAACGGGGCUAAACCAU
RNAcentral lists this ribosomal RNA (693 nucleotides) under Salmonella enterica. RNAcentral describes it as "partial 23S ribosomal RNA". It matches the Rfam family "Bacterial large subunit ribosomal RNA", at positions 498 to 1190 of the family's 2925-position model. Lineage: Bacteria; Pseudomonadati; Pseudomonadota; Gammaproteobacteria; Enterobacterales; Enterobacteriaceae. RNAcentral also lists the same sequence under 1 other name. The record is from RNAcentral.